UACGGAGGGUGCAAGCGUUAUCCGGAUUUACUGGGUUUAAAGGGUGCGUAGGUGGGCAGGAAAGUCAGUGGUGAAAUCUCCGGGCUUAACCCGGAAACUGCCAUUGAUACUAUUUGUCUUGAAUACUUUGGAGGUAAGCGGAAUAUGUCAUGUAGCGGUGAAAUGCUUAGAUAUGACACAGAACACCGAUUGCGUAGGCAGCUCACUAAACUGUAACUGACGCUGAGGCACGAAAGCGUGGGGAGCAAACAGG
Molecule: ribosomal RNA, 253 nt
Filed under: uncultured bacterium
Lineage: Bacteria
Description: partial 16S ribosomal RNA
Rfam family: Bacterial small subunit ribosomal RNA
Source: RNAcentral